RNAcentral lists this ribosomal RNA (301 nucleotides) under uncultured bacterium. Its description in RNAcentral is "partial 16S ribosomal RNA". It matches the Rfam family "Bacterial small subunit ribosomal RNA", at positions 509 to 809 of the family's 1533-position model. The record is from RNAcentral.
CAGUCGCCGCGGUAAAACGUAGGUGGCAAGCGUUGUCCGGAAUUAUUGGGCGUAAAGCGCGCGCAGACAGAUAGGUCAGUCUGUCUUAAAAGUUCGGGGCUUAACCCCGUGAUGGGAUGGAAACUGCCAAUCUAGAGUAUCGGAGAGGAAAGUGGAAUUCCUAGUGUAGCGGUGAAAUGCGUAGAUAUUAGGAAGAACACCAGUGGCGAAGGCGACUUUCUGGACGAAAACUGACGCUGAGGCGCGAAAGCCAGGGGAGCGAACGGGAUUAGAUACCCCCGUAGUCCCUGUCUCUUAUACA